UGGGGAAUUUUGGACAAUGGGCGAAAGCCUGAUCCAGCAAUGCCGCGUGUGUGAAGAAGGCCUUCGGGUUGUAAAGCACUUUUGUCCGGAAAGAAAUCCUCUGGGUUAAUACCUCGGGGGGAUGACGGUACCGGAAGAAUAAGCACCGGCUAACUACGUGCCAGCAGCCGCGGUAAUACGUAGGGUGCAAGCGUUAAUCGGAAUUACUGGGCGUAAAGCGUGCGCAGGCGGUUUUGUAAGAAGGAUGUGAAAUCCCCGGGCUUAACCUGGGAACUGCAUUCGUGACUGCAAGGCUAGAGUAUGGCAGAGGGGGGUAGAAUUCCACGUGUAGCAGUGAAAUGCGUAGAGAUGUGGAGGAAUACCGAUGGCGAAGGCAGCCCCCUGGGCCAAUACUGACGCUCAUGCACGAAAGCGUGGGGAGCAAACAGGAUUAGAUACCCUGGUAGUCCACGCCCUAAAACGAUGUCAACUAGUUGUUGGGGAUUCAUUUCCUUAGUAACGUAGCUAACGCGUGAAGUUGACCGCCUGGGGAGUACGGUCGCAAGAUUAAAACUUAAAUGAAUUGACGGGGUCAUAGCUGUUUCCU
RNAcentral lists this ribosomal RNA (586 nucleotides) under uncultured bacterium. Its description in RNAcentral is "partial 16S ribosomal RNA". It matches the Rfam family "Bacterial small subunit ribosomal RNA", at positions 355 to 1375 of the family's 1533-position model. The record is from RNAcentral.